UCAUCUCUUGGAACCUUUGAUCUAGGAGAUCCUCUCGAUUGCGAAUCUCGAGAGUCUUCUGACAGAACGGAGGUAGGGACCCUCCGAGGGUGGAAUCAUGAUCAGAUAGAGGGCUCUCUACCUUCUGCUUCCCCUUUCUGGAGGAUACAGGGCGACUGGCCCAAGUAGGCCACCCGAUCGUCAGAUUUUAGAACUCCCUGCGACUGCUGCUACUGCUGGUGCAUGGCCUGCACUGCUUCGAUGAGGCCCCUGACCUGCUGAACCAGCAGGUCGAACUGCUCCAUGCUGACUGCCAUUGUU
This 300-nucleotide long non-coding RNA is filed under the name Elaeis guineensis (African oil palm). RNAcentral describes it as "long non-coding RNA (EGUI_LNC067657)". The record is from RNAcentral. Lineage: Eukaryota; Viridiplantae; Streptophyta; Magnoliopsida; Arecales; Arecaceae.